Long non-coding RNA from Solanum pennellii, 1710 nucleotides. RefSeq lists it as uncharacterized. Lineage: Eukaryota; Viridiplantae; Streptophyta; Magnoliopsida; Solanales; Solanaceae. The transcript is spliced from 3 exons. The record is from RefSeq and is a predicted model, not a curated record.
UUCACUUAUGAAUAUUCAAAUGUUUAUCAAAAUUAUAUGUUGUGAUUCAGUUGAUUUCGGGCUAAAAAUAGUAGGAUAAGACUCAAAUAAUAGAUUGGAACGCAAUGUAAAGUGUCUUGAACUAAAACAGAAAGUUAAGAUGGAGUCCACAAUGGCUUUCCUUCCUAGUGUUGGGGCACAUAGAAAUUGAGAUUCAAUAGCUUGUGAUGAUUUUGCGACGUACGAAGUUCAUGAUGGGCCUUACACCGACUGUUUUUGACUUUUUCAUCUUCAUCCCAAUUUUCUUUUGCUUCGUCUCCUCUGUAGCUUUCUCUGUUCAAUUAUUUUCUACUUGCACUGUUAAGGAUUCCAGUACCUCAAUAUCAUGCCAUUAACUAGGAUCUUUUAUAGUUCUCAUUGCCUCAUUCUCUUUUACUUCCGUCAUUCUUCUUCAUUGCAUCAGGUAAGGAUACUGAUAUUUUAUCUUAAGGUUUAAAAUUGGAGUUUUAAUAGUUUAAUUAACUCACAAUUGAGAGAUGGAUCUGACAAUUGAAACAUUCAAAGGUGAUAUGACUAUUGUCAAUUGAGAGCUUCUCGUUUCAAAGGUGAUAUGACUAGAUACUCAAUUUUGGCUCCCCUCUCAUUCACAUUUUAUUUUGCGUCAUUGACAAGAGAAGAUUCUAUAGGAGCCUCCUCCUAUUUGUAAAGAUCCUGGAGGAAUCAAAAUAGUUGAAAAAAAAGCUAUUGAUGUCAUAUCAAUAUGUGAUGUCCAUUUUUUUUAUCCCUUUCAUUGAUAGUUUGUGAUAGGUAAGUUGACUUUGUGUUGCAAAAAAAUUAGCACUGGAAUACAGUUUCUCUUCAUUAAAGAAAAAGAUCAUCUCUCUUUCACCUUUUAUGUGCUUCGCUUGGCUCAAGUAUCAAGAUUAGUGAUAUUAAGGGGUGUAAAGUGUGCUGCAAGUUUCGAAGUGAAGCAACAGUCUCCUCAUUUAAAAAUGCUAGAAAAGAGAGAGGUUGACAUCAAAAAUGAAUUUUUUUUGACAAAGAUAAAUGCUUCCUUAAGAUUGCUUUAUGAUAAAUUGAUGAAGGAUGAAGGGGAGGAAACAUUGAAAAUGAGUAAUAUGGACCACAAAGUUUGCUACUUACAAAAUGAGGAAGGAUGAGAUUAAGGAAUAUCUUGCAAACACGAGUAUGGAUCAAAGGGUGAGUACCCUCUGUUCUAUCUAUGUAGCUCUGUGGUGGUCUUUUUUUCACAACAAACAUGUUAUUUUAUGAUAAACAGACAAAUGAACAUAUUGAAGUUUUCUUACCUAAGUGUAUGUUGAAAUGGCUUCACAGUAUGACUCAACAUAAAUGCUUUUUUUUUUAAACUUAUAUUUGUCAAAAAUGUGUUCCUUGUGUGUCUGUAUAUUGCAUAAAGAAUAUCUUGAAUGAAAAAUAGAGAAAAGAGUAAUACACAUCAAUUUAUUGGAAAGGACAAAUUAUAAAUAUAUUAUUUUUUUCUUCGUGGAAGAAUAUUUGUUGAGAGCUCAAAUUUCAUACAGCGGGGCUAUUAUUCUUACAAAAAAGAGGUAUAUAUGCUAAAACACAUUCUCUCUUAUGGUCUUUUCUAAUGUUGUGAUGAUGUUCCAACUUUUCUCGUAACAACUUGAUGCUCUAAUCGGAUCACUGAAUGUCAAGGGUGAAAGAGGAGAGACUCUUGAAAGGAACUGGAAAAUCUCUACCACAAAAUAA